ACAGUCGGCUAUUGCUGUGUAAAUGAUUUUAGCUUCUUCUCCAGUUCUCCACUCACCAAUCUGCAAAAGAACAACAACCAAAAGCAAAAACAAACAGAGAGAAAUACAGAAAGAGAAACCUGAAGCCCUCCUUUUUGGACAUCACGAUCUUCUUCAUUAUCAAAGGUAUUGGCUUGAUUUCUUCAAAAUCAGUGUAUAGCACUCUUGAAGAGUAACGCCAAGGCGCGCAUUUGCAGUAUUUUGAAGGCUAUUGAUCUUGAAGAAGACCUUGAUUCUGAGCCUAUUUGCCUUUUAAUUUCUGAGCUAGAAAUAAGUAUUGCCGGUCUCAAUUCUGACGGAGGAAGAAGCAGCUCUAAGCGACUCAGGGUACGUAGGAGUAGAAGACAGACUGUGACUAAAGUCACAGACCCAUGUUUAGUUUUUGACUGUGAAUAUUAAGUUAUUAACUGAUGGCCGAUUGUGAUCACGGAGUAAUUUCUUUUGUGGCUGUGGUGCAGACCAGAUUUGAGGUGGAACAAGCUGCUCACUAUCUGAUAAUCAAGUGUCAAGGAAAGUAAGCAUGUCUAAAAUUUCACAGGAUACCAUCUUCCGUUAGUAUAGAUAUAACUAGAAGAGAUUAGAUUCUGCUGUAGGCCGUUACUGAGGAAACAUGCAAGUCUGCAUUAAAAUUGAAUAUAAAAACUAAUGAUAGUGAAAGUGCCUAAACCAAACUGUAUUGAGUCUUAAUACCAAAUCAAAUGAAUCUCUAAUUCUCUCUAUCUACCAAAAAAGUAAAUAAAUCAAAUCAGCGUCUGCAGCUGGGAUUUGUUUUAUAGAUAAGAUGUUUGGUGGUCUGGGAAUUAAAGGGACAACACAAGACAAGACAAAUUUAUUUUUAUUAUUGUUAGCAGCCAUUUGUCUCAGUGCUAUUUGUUUGCUACAUUCUACUGAACAAUCUGAUGUUCUUGAGUUGAAAAUCUAAUUAGGCUGUAAUCAUAAGCUAUGUUUUUAUAUUUUGCAAUGCUAUUUGUCUGCUACAUUCUACUGAACAAUCUGAUGUUCUUGAGUUGAUUAAUUUAGUUUAUUCCUUUCGAGCUUCAUUCUUUUCUCAGUGUAUAUACUCAAUUCACUGCUCUCUUUUUUUGUCCUGUUUUUCAUUUAUGAUAAGAUUUUUUUCUAUCUACAUAUAUUCACUUAUCACCCUUUUUUCUCUUUUCAUUCUGUUUUGUGUUUAUGUUUAUUUUUUUUUUUUCACUCAUACAUAUUAUAUAGGGUAGUAAUGUACUGAAAGAUAUAUUGUAGCUAUUGAAUGAACUGUCAUUACAUGGCUCCUUUUUAUAGCUUGGGUUAUAGAGUAUUCACUUCUUUACUGGUUUUCUCAAUUGAGGCUCUCUCAAUACUUUGCAUGUUUUUGUACAAUGUACAGUAAUGAGAAACUUUAAUUCAGGAACGAAUUUGAGACUUAGGAUUUAGGGUCAUUAUACAGGAACUGAAACUCUGAGCCUAACUUUUCUAUUUUUAGAUAUCAUGCAAUCUAUUUAGGGUCCAAUCACUAUUACAUUGGUUUCUUUUACAGUCCGCAGAUUAUUAAAACUCUGGAAAUCAUUUUUUACUUUCUAUUUAGUUUUUGUUGUCAAUUUAGUUAUAUCUCUGCAUUUACCUCUAUGGUUUGUGUGUGAAUUUCAUUGUUGUUUUCUUUGGCUUUUUCAGAUCUGACCUUCAAAUAAAAAAGCUUCUGUUUUUUGCUGCUGUUGAUUUGUUUUCAGCUUUUUUUUUUUUUUCCUUUUUGGUCAUGGCCUUUGUUCAACUUCUCUAUAGUCAGAUUCUUAUUUACACUAAAUGCAUAACAUUUUACGUGUUUUUUCCUCCGACUUUGGGUAAAUGAUGUUCCAUGAAAUAUGGUUAAAGUGAGUAUCUGUCUCCUCUUUUGCAUAUUUCAGGAUUGAGAAAAGGUUGUUUUUAUGUUUGAAUGGCUGGAGUUGUAUCAUUCAGAUAAUGUAACUGCAAAGACUUAUGUCCUUGGUGAGUGAUGCAAAGGCUGUAAAAUCCCUUACAGCAGCAAUAAUGUAUAGCCACACCCUAUAAAAGUAAUUACUGAACUUCGCAUAGUAAUACGUUGGAUUGUUUAGGAACAUCAUUUACUGAACUUCGCAUAGUAAUGUAUAGCCAGCUCUGUGUAUAAGUAUCAUAUGAUUUUGUGAAUUACAAUUUGUGUUUGUUUAACAAAUUCACCAAGCUGUUUCAGUUAUAAAGAGUUGCAUAUUUAUCCAUUUGGUCAUGUUAUUCCUUUUGAGUCCUGUGAAAUACACUUGCUAAAUCAUUUGCUAAUUAUUUGACAUUUUGUUUGGUUAUGCC
Molecule: RNA transcript, 2334 nt
Organism: Rosa chinensis
Lineage: Eukaryota; Viridiplantae; Streptophyta; Magnoliopsida; Rosales; Rosaceae
Exons: 5
Source: RefSeq, a predicted model, not a curated record